Molecule: ribosomal RNA, 473 nt
Filed under: uncultured bacterium
Lineage: Bacteria
Description: bacterial SSU rRNA
Rfam family: Bacterial small subunit ribosomal RNA
Source: RNAcentral
AUGCAGUCGAGCGAGAAAGCACUUCGGUGCGAGUACAGCGGCGGACGGGUGAGUAACGCGUAGGAAUCUACCUGGUAGUGGGGGACAACAUGGUGAAAACCAUGCUAAUACCGCAUACGCCCUAAGGGGGAAAGCGGGGGAUCUUCGGACCUCGCGCUAUUGGAUGAGCCUGCGUAAGAUUAGCUAGUUGGUGGGGUAAAAGCUCACCAAGGCGACGAUCUUUAGCUGGUCUGAGAGGAUGAUCAGCCACACUGGAACUGAGACACGGUCCAGACUCCUACGGGAGGCAGCAGUGGGGAAUAUUGCGCAAUGGGCGAAAGCCUGACGCAGCCAUGCCGCGUGUGUGAAGAAGGCCUUAGGGUUGUAAAGCACUUUCAAUUGGGAAGAAAGGUUGUCCGUUAAUAGCGUGCAGCUGUGACAUUACCUUUAGAAGAAGCACCGGCUAACUCCGUGCCAGCAGCCGCGGUAAUACG